CAGACAAGAUACGUCACUUCCGGCCACGAAGAAGCGAGUAAACACGCAGGACGCAGCCAGGGCCUUGGAAUACCCUUCCUGCAGAAGCCGCGUUCUGACGUCGCCACGCGGCAGAGUCCCCAGAGGACCGCAGCAAAGCCUGUGGCGUGGUGGGACUCGUGCCGACACACCUUUGGGCGUAGUGCGUCAGUGCAGGCUGCUGCAAGGUGCCUUUGCACCUGUGCCUCCUCCCUGCUCCAACACAUCCGCCCCGUGUUAGGAAGAGGGCGUUCCCAUUUUAGGGAGCAAGAAGAUACUGGAGCACGGCGCCAGUUUGGGCGCCGCUAAAGGUACUAGAGUCAGACCGGGGUCGUGAAACCUGUGGGAGACUCCCGUGACUUGCUAAGUACCACCACUACCUCCCACUGGUGCGUCAGCCCGCGGCGAGGGCCCGUGACCGACCGCAGGCUCAGCUGUCACGUGACCGCCGCGCCGGGCGCAACCUCGGAAACCGCCGGCCUCUAGGGGGCGUGUGCGUUUACCGCCUCUCUGCGCUCCCGGCCGCCUUGGCGCCUCGGCCGUUGGCGCAUGCGCAGCAGAGUCCGGAAACGCCCGCUUUCUUGGGCUCUGGAGGACAACGUGAACCGCGAGCCGGCGGCCGAGGGGAGUUUUGCGGUCAUCCCCGUCUCCCGCUCCGAGGGUCUCAGGAAGGGUGCGAGCGGCAGGGCUGUGUCGCCGGGGUUCGGGUCCCGGGUCCGGUGUUCUCUCCGGAGCUGGGGCUGGAGUGGAGAGCGCGAGCUGCAGAUUAAGAUAAAUUUAUAGGAAAAUGGAAAAGCAGAAAUUCUGAUGUUUUGCUUUUGAUUUUGCCAAGUUAAGUCAAUUCCAGGAGUCCUCUUUUCAGAAAGAUAAAUAAAUGCUGAAGACUUAUUUCCAACCAAUACAUGGAUGGCUGCCAAUGAGAAAAGCAAGCAGCAGAAAGUAUCAGCAAAGUAACUUGGCACUGGAUAAACCAGAAAGAGAAAAACCAAGAUCUCUUAGGAAGUUUGGGCACACAGACCUGAAGAGCAGAUGUGCUUUAGUAGGACAGGUAGAGGGAAGCAGCAGAAUGUGAGGAGGCUGCAGACCAUGCCAAGGUGGAGGAGGAGCCUAACAUGGAUUGGUGGGGGCUAUGCUCCAUGCAUUCAUUUAAGGAAUGAGGCUCCUCUGUCAGGUACUCCACCACCUCUAAGGCAGAUGCUGCAGAGUCCCCAGGGCUGACAGAGACUUGCCAUGUGACACAAUCUCUCCAUUCCAGAACUCCGAGGCUAGUGAUACCUGCAGUUGGUGGGUCAGAGCUCAAACCUCUGAUGUCACUGCUUUGGAAGGUUCCAGAAAACCUGUGGAAACAUGUUUACUCAGUGGAAGUGUGUUGACUCCAGCUGGUUCCUACCCUAGAGGAAUCACACAGUGCCUGCAGCCAAAAUAUCUCACUACCAGGAGGACCUUCAUCAGCAACUACUCUAUAACUCUUAUUCAUUUGUGGAAAUCCAUGGGCCUUUUUCCACCUCACCUUUCUAGUAGGCUAUUUCUCAGGCAAAAGACAGCACAUGCCUCGUACCUAUAAAAAUGGAUCACCCCUUUGGCCCUGAAGACGACAUAUGUAUUAAUUGACUCCAUCUUUUUUAGACCUAAGCCCUUGAGCUCAGAUUGUUCUUUCCUCAAGAUCCUUGAUUACCAACCCAUAAUAAAUCUAGAGGAACUAAUCCACCUUUCCUUUUCCAA
Canis lupus familiaris (dog) is the source of this 1740-nucleotide long non-coding RNA. RefSeq lists it as uncharacterized. The record is from RefSeq and is a predicted model, not a curated record. The transcript has 7 exons. Lineage: Eukaryota; Metazoa; Chordata; Mammalia; Carnivora; Canidae.